RNAcentral lists this ribosomal RNA (495 nucleotides) under uncultured bacterium. RNAcentral describes it as "bacterial SSU rRNA". It matches the Rfam family "Bacterial small subunit ribosomal RNA", at positions 29 to 512 of the family's 1533-position model. The record is from RNAcentral.
AGUGAACGCUGGCGGCAGGCCUAAUACAUGCAAGUCGAACGGCAGCACGGCAGAGCUUGCUCUGUGGGUGGCGAGUGGCGGACGGGUGAGGAAUACAUGGGAAUCUGCCCAGUCGUGGGGGAUAACGUAGGGAAACUUACGCUAAUACCGCAUGCGCCCUUCGGGGGAAAGCCGGGGACCUUCGGGCCUGGCGCGAUUGGAUGAGCCCAUGUCGGAUUAGCUAGUUGGCGGGGUAAUGGCCCACCAAGGCGACGAUCCGUAGCUGGUCUGAGAGGAUGAUCAGCCACACUGGAACUGAGACACGGUCCAGACUCCUACGGGAGGCAGCAGUAGGGAAUAUUGGACAAUGGGCGCAAGCCUGAUCCAGCCAUGCCGCGUGAGUGAAGAAGGCCCUCGGGUUGUAAAGCUCUUUUGUCCGGAAAGAAAAGCGCCGGGUUAAUACCCUGGUGUCCUGACGGUACCGGAAGAAUAAGCACCGGCUAACUUCGUGCCAGC